GUGAAGUUGGAUGGCCUCUGGCCCCAUGUAUCAACAUGGAUCAAUCUCAAAACAAAAUGUUAAGAAAAAGAGUACACAGGUAGUAAAUGGCAUCACGUAUAUAAAGUUUAAAACUUACAAAACAAUACUAUAUAUUGUUUAUGGAUACAUAAAUGUGGUAAAAGAAUAAGAACCUGUGUGAGAAUUAAAAACAUCCCAUUCAUGAUAAUAGUUACAUCUUCAGUGGGAGUAUGUAGGAGGUCUUAACAAUGGCCGUAAUAUUUUAUUUCUUAACAAUAUCUGAAGCAAAUAUGGCAUAAUGUAAAUAUUCGAUAGAACUGGAAGUGGGAGCCACAGAUGUUACAUUAAUUCCUAUAUAUAUUUUUUUGUAUGUUUGUAAACUUAAAAAAAACUAAGUAAAGGCUUUAAAACUUUGUAAAAUAUCUUCUUUGUAAUCCACUGUUUCAGAAAUAGGAGCCCUGGUGGCACAGUGGUUAAGAUCUAUGGCUGCUAACCAAAACGUCAGCUGUUUGAAUUUGGUAGACUCGCCUUGGAAGCCCUAUGGGGCAGCUCUACUCUGUCCCAUAGUGUGGCUGAGUCGGAAUCGACCUGACGGCAGCAGCGUGACUAAUUCCUCACAUUGCAUUGUUUGAUUGUUUUUGUUUUUGCAAAAAUAACAGAUGGUUAAAAUGACACCAUUGGCACCAUUAGCCAAAAAAAAAAAUUAUUUUCCUUCCUAAGAUAACAACUCUUCCGUUCUGUCAAUGAGUUGUUUUCCACCCUGGCUACCUCUGAAUAGUUGAAGAAAAAAAAAAGAAGAAGAAGAAGAAGCCAACUCUGGUCCAGACCAAUUGAAGCAGAAUCUCUGGGGUGGGGCUAAUUUAGGCUUUUUCACCCUGCAACAGAUUCCUCCCUUUUUUUCUUCCUCUUAUUUUUCCUGUUUCUUCUCACCAAACUUAAAUGAAAUUUACUAAAGCAUUUGAAACUACUUAUGUAGCCUUCCUACUGCUGCAGGGGUGACUACUAUCCUGAUUUUCUUUUUGACUUUGGAGAUUUUUAUAGACUUUUUGGGCACUUCCAAUUUUGACUUACAUGCUUUGUUCUCUUUACCACCCUCCAGGCACACCUAUUAAUACUCCCAAAUAAAGAGCAGCUGUGUCAUUAUUUUCUCUUCCCAACAGUGUCCAUGGACAAAUGAUAAUUGUAUUUGAGAGCUGUUGCUCCUACAAAAAUUUGCUUGUAGAUUUGCUAUAUGCAGACUCACUCCAGCCUAAUCUUGUCCUUUUUCCCUUCGUAGCUGCUUUUGCCUCGAGAUGUCGUUACAUAGUAGGAACAAUAUUGGAAGAAGAUUUCAAAAAUAAAUAAAUGCCACUGAGAAUUGUUGACGUGGUUUGGAGUUUCUCAACUCAAGCAAAAGAGAUUGGCUCAAAACAUACAAAACAUACUAUUGCUGGAUUUGAAGGCUUAGGACCAUAGCCUUGUAGAGCAACUUGGUUAAUUGGCACAAUAUAGUCCACUAAGAUGAUGUUCUACAUCCUAUUUUGGUAGAUGGAUAUAUCUGCUCCUGUUACCCUGCCUUCUUGGAAUAGUAUCUUGAUUGUGAUGGUGGAUACACAAACCUACAAAUGUGGUAAAAUUGUACACACAAAUACACACACACACAUGCACAAAUGAGUACAUGUAAAACU
Molecule: long non-coding RNA, 1667 nt
Organism: Loxodonta africana (African savanna elephant)
Lineage: Eukaryota; Metazoa; Chordata; Mammalia; Proboscidea; Elephantidae
Exons: 3
Source: RefSeq, a predicted model, not a curated record